RNAcentral lists this ribosomal RNA (426 nucleotides) under uncultured bacterium. RNAcentral's name for it is "bacterial SSU rRNA". It matches the Rfam family "Bacterial small subunit ribosomal RNA", at positions 29 to 456 of the family's 1533-position model. The record is from RNAcentral.
AUUGAACGCUGGCGGCGUGCUUAACACAUGCAAGUCGAUCGGUAACGCGGGGGCAACCCUGGCGACGAGAGGCGGACGGGUGAGGAACGCUUGGGAAUCUGCCCAUCAGCGGGGGACAACCCGGGGAAACCCGGGCUAAUACCGCAUACGCUCCAAGGAGGAAAGCCGGGGACCGCAAGGCCUGGCACUGAUGGAUGAGCCCAAGUCGGAUUAGCUAGUUGGCGGGGUAACGGCCCACCAAGGCGACGAUCCGUAGCUGGUCUGAGAGGACGAUCAGCCACACUGGGACUGAGACACGGCCCAGACUCCUACGGGAGGCAGCAGUGGGGAAUAUUGGACAAUGGGCGAAAGCCUGAUCCAGCGACGCCGCGUGGGUGAAGAAGGCCUGCGGGUUGUAAAGCCCUUUCGGUAGGGACGAAAGCCUCC